UACAUUGUAGCCUACAUUGGAGCAGUUGCAUGCCUCGUGUGCAUGACGUCCUGGGUUCGAAUCCCAGCUGCGCCC
Molecule: non-coding RNA, 75 nt
Organism: Dallia pectoralis (Alaska blackfish)
Lineage: Eukaryota; Metazoa; Chordata; Actinopteri; Esociformes; Umbridae
Source: the annotation of a GenBank genome assembly